This 427-nucleotide ribosomal RNA is filed under the name uncultured bacterium. Its description in RNAcentral is "bacterial SSU rRNA". It matches the Rfam family "Bacterial small subunit ribosomal RNA", at positions 355 to 775 of the family's 1533-position model. The record is from RNAcentral.
UCGAGAAUUUUUCACAAUGGGCGAAAGCCUGAUGGAGCGACGCCGCGUGGGGGAUGAAUGGCUUCGGCCCGUAAACCCCUGUCAUUCGCGAGCAAACGUUAUUAUUUAAAAGAUGAUAGCCUGAUAGUAGCGAAAGAGGAAGGGACGGCUAACUCUGUGCCAGCAGCCGCGGUAAUACAGAGGUCCCAAGCGUUGUUCGGAUUUACUGGGCGUAAAGGGUGCGUAGGUGGUGGGGUAAGUCGGAUGUAAAAUCUCCGAGCUCAACUCGGAAAGUGCAUUGGAAACUACCCUGCUCGAGGGUUGGAGGGGGGACUGGAACACUUGGUGUAGCAGUGAAAUGCGUAGAUAUCAAGUGGAACACCAGUGGCGAAGGCGAGUCCCUGGACAACUCCUGGCACUGAGGCACGAAAGCUAGGGGAGCAAACAG